AACGAACGCUGGCGGCAUGCCUGACACAUGCAAGUCGAACGAGACCUUCGGGUCUAGUGGCGCACGGGUGCGUAACGCGUGGGAAUCUGCCCUUGGGUUCGGAAUAACAGUUGGAAACGACUGCUAAUACCGGAUGAUGACGUAAGUCCAAAGAUUUGUCGCCCAAGGAUGAGCCCGCGUAGGAUUAGCUAGUUGGUGAGGUAAAGGCUCACCAAGGCGACGAUCCUUAGCUGGUCUGAGAGGAUGAUCAGCCACACUGGGACUGAGACACGGCCCAGACUCCUACGGGAGGCAGCAGUGGGGAAUAUUGGACAAUGGGCGAAAGCCUGAUCCAGCAAUGCCGCGUGAGUGAUGAAGGCCUUAGGGUUGUAAAGCUCUUUUACCCGGGAUGAUAAUGACAGUACCGGGAGAAUAAGCUCCGGCUAACUCCGUG
RNAcentral lists this ribosomal RNA (433 nucleotides) under uncultured bacterium. RNAcentral describes it as "partial 16S ribosomal RNA". It matches the Rfam family "Bacterial small subunit ribosomal RNA", at positions 29 to 507 of the family's 1533-position model. The record is from RNAcentral.